Molecule: non-coding RNA, 59 nt
Filed under: Corynebacterium pyruviciproducens
Lineage: Bacteria; Bacillati; Actinomycetota; Actinomycetes; Mycobacteriales; Corynebacteriaceae
Also listed under: 1 other name
Description: L31-Corynebacteriaceae ribosomal protein leader
Rfam family: L31-Corynebacteriaceae ribosomal protein leader
Source: RNAcentral
ACUCAGGCACGACCUACGCCGGGAGCGUAGGGACGACCUGAAGUCUCAAUCCUGAGGGA